GAUGAACGCUGGCGGCGUGCCUAAUACAUGCAAGUCGAGCGAACAGACGAGGAGCUUGCUCCUCUGACGUUAGCGGCGGACGGGUGAGUAACACGUGGAUAACCUACCUAUACGACUGGGAUAACUUCGGGACACCGGAGCUAAUACCGGAUUAUAUAUUGAACCGCAUGGUUCAAUAGUGAAAGACGGUUUUGCUGUCACUUAUAGAUGGAUCCGCGCCGCAUUAGCUAGUUGGUAAGGUAACGGCUUACCAAGGCAACGAUCCGUAGCCGACCUGAGAGAGUGAUCGGCCACACUGGAACUGAGACACGGUCCAGACUCCUACGGGAGGCAGCAGUAGAGUAUCUUCCGCAAUGGGCGAAAGCCUGACGGAACAACGCCGCGUGAGUGAUGAAGGUCGUCGGAUCGUAAAACUCUGUUAUUAGGGAAGAACAAAUGUGUAAGUAACUAUGCACGUCUUGACGGUACCUAAUCAGAAAGCCACGGCUAACUACGUG
Molecule: ribosomal RNA, 497 nt
Filed under: uncultured bacterium
Lineage: Bacteria
Description: partial 16S ribosomal RNA
Rfam family: Bacterial small subunit ribosomal RNA
Source: RNAcentral